GACGAACGCUGGCGGCGUGCUUAACACAUGCAAGUCGAACGGAAAGGGCCUGCUUUUGUUGGGUGCUCGAGUGGCGAACGGGUGAGUAACACGUGAGUAACCUGCCCUUGACUUUGGGAUAACUUCAGGAAACUGGGGCUAAUACCGGAUAGGAGCUCCUGCUGCAUGGUGUGGGUUGGAAAGUUUCGGCGGUUGGGGAUGUACUCGCGGCUUAUCAGCUUGUUGGUGGGGUAGUGGCUUACCAAGGCUUUGACGGGUAGCCGGCCUGAGAGGGUGACCGGCCACAUUGGGACUGAGAUACGGCCCAGACUCCUACGGGAGGAAGCAGUGGGGAAUAUUGCACAAUGGGCGGAAGCCUGAUGCAGCAACGCCGCGUGCGGGAUGACGGCCUUCGGGUUGUAAACCGCUUUCGCCUGUGACGAAGCGUGAGUGACGGUAAUGGGUAAAGAAGCACCGGCUAACUACGUG
This 468-nucleotide ribosomal RNA is filed under the name uncultured bacterium. RNAcentral's name for it is "partial 16S ribosomal RNA". It matches the Rfam family "Bacterial small subunit ribosomal RNA", at positions 28 to 507 of the family's 1533-position model. The record is from RNAcentral.